CCCUUAGAGUUUGAUCCUGGCUCAGGAUGAACGCUAGCUACAGGCUUAACACAUGCAAGUCGAGGGGAAACGAUAUUGGAAGCUUGCUUCCGAUAGGCGUCGACCGGCGCACGGGUGAGUAACGCGUAUCCAACCUGCCCAUCACUUGGGGAUAACCUUGCGAAAGUAAGACUAAUACCCAAUGACGUCUCUAGAAGACAUCUGAAAGAGAUUAAAGAUUUAUCGGUGAUGGAUGGGGAUGCGUCUGAUUAGCUUGUUGGCGGGGUAACGGCCCACCAAGGCGACGAUCAGUAGGGGUUCUGAGAGGAAGGUCCCCCACAUUGGAACUGAGACACGGUCCAAACUCCUACGGGAGGCAGCAGUGAGGAAUAUUGGUCAAUGGGCGAGAGCCUGAACCAGCCAAGUAGCGUGCAGGAUGACGGCCCUAUGGGUUGUAAACUGCUUUUAUAAGGGAAUAAAGUGAGCCUCGUGAGGCUUUUUGCAUGUACCUUAUGAAUAAGGACCGGCUAAUUCCGUGCCAGCAGCCGCGGUAAUACGGAAGGUCCGGGCGUUAUCCGGAUUUAUUGGGUUUAAAGGGAGCGUAGGCCGGAGAUUAAGCGUGUUGUGAAAUGUAGACGCUCAACGUCUGCACUGCAGCGCGAACUGGUUUCCUUGAGUACGCACAAAGUGGGCGGAAUUCGUGGUGUAGCGGUGAAAUGCUUAGAUAUCACGAAGAACUCCGAUUGCGAAGGCAGCUCACUGGAGCGCAACUGACGCUGAAGCUCGAAAGUGCGGGUAUCGAACAGGAUUAGAUACCCUGGUAGUCCGCACGGUAAACGAUGGAUGCCCGCUGUUGGUCUGAAUAGGUCAGCGGCCAAGCGAAAGCAUUAAGCAUCCCACCUGGGGAGUACGCCGGCAA
RNAcentral lists this ribosomal RNA (898 nucleotides) under uncultured bacterium. Its description in RNAcentral is "bacterial SSU rRNA". It matches the Rfam family "Bacterial small subunit ribosomal RNA", at positions 1 to 891 of the family's 1533-position model. The record is from RNAcentral.